AUACGGAGGAUCCGAGCGUUAUCCGGAUUUAUUGGGUUUAAAGGGAGCGUAGGCGGACGCUUAAGUCAGUUGUGAAAGUUUGCGGCUCAACCGUAAAAUUGCAGUUGAUACUGGGUGUCUUGAGUACAGUAGAGGCAGGCGGAAUUCGUGGUGUAGCGGUGAAAUGCUUAGAUAUCACGAAGAACUCCGAUUGCGAAGGCAGCCUGCUGGACUGUAACUGACGCUGAUGCUCGAAAGUGUGGGUAUCAAACAGGAUUAGAUACCCUGGUAGUCCACACAGUAAACGAUGAAUACUCGCUGUUUGCGAUAUACAGUAAGCGGCCAAGCGAAAGCGUUAAGUAUUCCACCUGGGGAGUACGCCGGCAACGGUGAAACUUAAAGGAAUUGACGGGG
This 393-nucleotide ribosomal RNA is filed under the name uncultured bacterium. RNAcentral describes it as "partial 16S ribosomal RNA". It matches the Rfam family "Bacterial small subunit ribosomal RNA", at positions 523 to 918 of the family's 1533-position model. The record is from RNAcentral.